This is a long non-coding RNA of Mytilus californianus (California mussel), 4217 nucleotides long. RefSeq lists it as uncharacterized. The record is from RefSeq and is a predicted model, not a curated record. NCBI's taxonomy places the organism in Eukaryota, Metazoa, Mollusca, Bivalvia, Mytilida, Mytilidae. The transcript has 6 exons.
AAAAACAACAACAUAAAAAACAUGACAAGCAGCAGUCUACAAAACACAACAUUGAAAACUAAAGACUGAGAAUUGAAUAGGUGCUCCGAUAGGGUAAAUAGGUCCUGCUGCACCUAUCGUGCUAUAUGGUUACAGAUGACAGCAAGAAUUAUACACUAUGGUACAGUUGAACAAGGAUGUUACAGGUAGCAGUAGACGGCACAGUUGACAAACAAUGUUACAGGUAGCAGUAGAUGGUACAGAUGACAAAUGAUGUUACAGGUGGCAGUAGAUGGUACAGUUGACAAACAAUGUUACAGGUGGCAGUAGAUGGUACAGUUGACAAAUGAUGUUACAGGUGGCAUAAGAUGGUACAGUUGACAAACAAUGUUACAGGUGGCAGUAGAUGGUAUAGUUAACAAGUGAUGUUACAGAUGCCAGUAGAAUGUACAGUUGACAAAUGAUGUUGCAGAUGGCAGUAGAUGGUAUAGUUGACAAAUUAUGUUACCAGUGGGCAGUGGCAGUAGAUGUUCAAGUUUAUAAACAAUGUCACAGGUGGCAGUAGAUGGUACAGUUGACAAAUGAUGUUACAGAUGACAGUGGAUGGUACAGUUGACAAAUGAUGUUACAGGUGGCAGUAGAUGGUACAGAUGACGAAUGAUGUUACAGUUGACAGUAGAUGGUACAGAUGACUAAUGAUGUUACAGGUAGCAGUAGAUGGUACAGUCGUCAAAUGAUGUUAUAGAUGGCAGUAGAUGGUACAGUUUAUAAACUAUGUUACAGGUGGCAGUAGAUGGUACAGUCGUCAAAUGAUGUUAUAGAUGGCAGUAGAUGGUACAGUUUAUAAACUAUGUUACAGGUGGCAGUAGAUGGUACAGUUGAUAAUUGAUGUUAUAGAUGGUAGUAGAUGGUACAGUUUAUAAAUAUGGUUACAGGUGGCAGUAGAUGGUACAGAUGACCAAUGAUGUUACAGGUGGCAGUAGAUGGUAGAGUUGACAAAUGACGUUACAGAUGGCAGUAGAUGGUACAGUUGACAAAUGAUGUUACUGGUGGCAGUAGAUGGUACAGUUGACAAAUGAUGUUACAGGUGGCAGUAGAUGGUACAGUUGACUAAUGAUGUUACAGGUAGCAGUAGAUGGUACAGUUGACUAAUGAUAUUACAGGUGGCAGUAGAUGGUACAGAUGGCUAAUGAUGUUACAGGUGGCAGCAGAUGGUACAGUUGACAAAUGAUGUUACAGAUGGCAGUAGAUGGUACAGUUGACAAAUGAUGUUACAGGUGGCAGGAGAUGGUACAGUUGACAAAUGUUGUUACAGAUGGCAGUCGAUGGUACAGUUGACAAACAAUUUUACAGGUGGCAGUAGAUGGGACAGUUGACAAAUGAUGUUAAAGGUGGCAGGAGAUGGUACAGUUGAUAAAUGAUGUUACAAAUGGCAGUAGAUGGUACAGUUGACAAACAUUGUUACAGGUGGCAAUAGAUAGUACAGUUGACAAAUGAUGUUACAGGUGGCAGGAGAUGGUACAGUUGACAAAUGAUGUUACAGGUGGCAGUAGAUGGUACAGUUGACAAACAAUGUUACAGGUGGCAGUAGAUGGUACAGUUAACAAAUGAUGUUCCAGAUGACAGUAGAUGGUACAGUUGACAAAUGAUGUUACAGGUGGCAGUAGAUGGUACAGUUGACAAAUGAUGUUACAAGAUGCAAGAGAUGGUACAGUUGACAAAUGAUGUUACAGGUGGCAGCAGAUGGUACAGUUGACAAAUGAUGUUACAGGUGGCAGUAGAUGGUACAGUUGACAAAUUAUGUUACAGGUGGCAGUAGAUGGUACAGAUGACAAACAAUAUUACAGAUGGCAGUAGAUGGUACAGAUGACAAAUGACAUUACGGAUGACAGUAGAUGGUACAGAUGAUGAAUGAUGUUACAGGUGGCAUAAUAUGGUACAGAUGACAAACAAUGUUACAGGUAUCAGUAGAUGGUACAGAUGACAAAUGAUGUUACAGGUGGCAGUAGAUGGUAUAGAUGACAAAUGAUGUUUCAGAUGGCAGUAGAUGGUACAGUUGACAAAUGAUGUUACAGAUGACAGUAGAUGGUACAGAUGACGAAUGAUGUUACAGGUGGCAUAAGAUGGUACAGAUGACAAAUGAUGUUACAGAUGGCAGUAGAUGGUACAGAUGAGGAAUGAUGUUACAGGUGGCAGUAGAUGGUACAGAUGACAAAAGAUAUUACAGAUGGUAGUAGAUGGUACAGAUGACGAAUGAUGUUACAGGUGGCAUAAGAUGGUACAGAUGACAAAUGAUGUUACAGGUGGCAGUAGAUGGUACAGAUGACAAAUGAUGUUACAGAUGGCAGCAGGUGGUACAGAUGACAAACAAUGUUACAGGUGGUAGUAGAUGGUACAGUUGACAAAUGAUGUUACAGAUGGCAGUAGAUAGUACAGUUGACAAAUGAUGUUACAGGUGGCAGUAGAUGUUACAGUUAACAAAUGAUGUUUUACAAAUGACCUUAGAGAUGGCAGUAGAUGGUACAGUUGACAAAUGCUGUUACAGAUGACAGUAGAUGGUAGUUGAAAAAUGAUGUUACAGGUGGCAGUAGUUGGUACAGUUGACAAAUGAUGUUACAGGUGGUAGUAGAUGGUACAGUUGACAAAUGAUGUUACAGAUGGCAGUAGAUAGUACAGUUGACAAAUGAUGUUACAGGUGGCAGUAGAUGUUACAGUUAACAAAUGAUGUUUUACAAAUGACCUUAGAGAUGGCAGUAGAUGGUACAGUUGACAAAUGCUGUUACAGAUGACAGUAGAUGGUAGUUGAAAAAUGAUGUUACAGGUGGCAGUAGUUGGUACAGUUGACAAACAAUGUUACUGAUGGAAGUAGAUGGUACAGAUGACAAAUGAUGUUACAGGUGGCAAUAGAUGGUACAGUUGACAAAUGAUGUUACAGGUGGCAGGAGAUGGUACAGUUGACUUAUGAUGUUACAGGUGGCAGUAGAUGGUACAGUUGACAAAUGAUGUUACAGGUGGCAGGAGAUGGUACAGUUGACUUAUGAUGUUACAGAUGGCAGUAGAUGGUACAGAUGACAGUAGAUGGUACAGUUGACAAAUGAUGUUACAGGUGGCAGUAGAUGGUACAGAUGACAAAUUAUGUUACAGGUGGCAGUAGAUGCUACAGAUGACGAAUGAUGUUACAGGUGGCAGUAGAUGGUACAGAUGACAAAUGAUAUUACAGAUGACAGUAGAUGGUACAGAUGACGAAUGAUGUUACAGAGGCAUAAGAAGGUACAGAUGACAAAUGAUGUUACAGGUGGCAGUAGAUGGUACAGAUGACAAAUGAUGUUACAGGUGGCAGUAGAUGGUAAAGUUGACAAAUGAUGUUACAGGUGGCAGUAGAUGGUAAAGUUGACAAAUGAUGUUACAGGUGGCAAUAGAUGGUACAGUUGACAAAUGAUGUUACAGGUGGCAGUAGAUUGUAAAGUUGACAAAUGAUGUUACAUGUGGCAGUAGAUGGUACAGAUGACAAAUUAUGUUACAGGUGGCAGUAGAUGGUACAGAUGACGAAUGAUGUUACAGGUGGCAGUAGAUGGUACAGAUGACAAACAAUGUUACAGAUGGCAGUAGAUGGUACAGAUGACAAAUGAUAUUACAGAUGACAAUAGAUGGUACAGAUGACGAAUGAUGUUACAGAGGCAUAAGAAGGUACAGAUGACAAAUGAUGUUACAGGUGGCAGUAGAUGGUACAGAUGACAAAUGAUGUUACAGGUGGCAGUAGAUGGUACAGAUGACAAAUGAUGUCACAGAUGGCAGUAGAUGGUACAGUUGACAAAUGAUGUUACAGAUGACAGUAGAUGGUAGAGUUGACAAAUGAUGUAACAGGUGGCAGUAGAUGGUACAGAUGACAAAUGAUGUUACAGGUAGCAGGAGAUGGUACAGUUGACUUAUGAUGUUACAGGUGGCAGUAGAUGGUACAGAUGACAAAUGAUGUUACAGGUAGCAGGAGAUGGUACAGUUGACUAAUGAUGUUACAGGUAGCAGUAGAUGGUACAGAUGACUAAUGAUGUUACAGGUGGCAGUAGAUUGUAAACCGGACAAAUGAUGUUACAGAUAGCAGUAGAUGGUACAGUUGACACAUGAUGUUACAGGUGGCAGUAGAUGGUAAAGUUGACUAAUAAUGUUACAGGUGGCAGUAUAUGGUACAGUUGAAAAACAAUGUUACAGAUGGCAGUAGAUGGUACAGAGGACAAAUGAUG